Molecule: small nucleolar RNA, 132 nt
Organism: Suncus etruscus (white-toothed pygmy shrew)
Lineage: Eukaryota; Metazoa; Chordata; Mammalia; Eulipotyphla; Soricidae
Product: small nucleolar RNA SNORA51
Exons: 1
Source: RefSeq, a predicted model, not a curated record
GUCCUCCCAAUUCUUAUCACAGGCUGUGUUCUUUACACUGACUGUAUAAAAGUGGAGGUACAGUAAAGGCACCCCAUAUCUACCUCAACCCAUGCCCUUUGUCUGGUCUUUAUUGUGAAUUGGGGGACAAAA